UCAGAAAUGAAAGAAGCAAUCUGCUUGGUUGCUAUGGGCAACUCAACAACUAUUCCUCUGCACAGGCUUCUUUUGUGGCAGUAUAAAAUUUCAGCAGCUGCUAGAUUGCCGCCAUGUUCAAUGCAUGCAGAUUGUAGGAUGGGGCUUACAAUAGCAGCAGCAGCUACAGCUAUUGCAAUCUAUCCUUGAUGCAAACUACAUCUGUCUGGACAUUGCUACAGCAUUGCUUCAGUGAUCUAGAAAGCAGGAAUGACUAGGAAACAGAAAAUAAUUAUUUGUUAUUUUCCC
Molecule: long non-coding RNA, 288 nt
Organism: Hyla sarda
Lineage: Eukaryota; Metazoa; Chordata; Amphibia; Anura; Hylidae
Exons: 3
Source: RefSeq, a predicted model, not a curated record